Molecule: transfer RNA, 75 nt
Filed under: Dissulfurimicrobium hydrothermale
Lineage: Bacteria; Deltaproteobacteria
Also listed under: 8 other names
Description: tRNA-Val
Rfam family: tRNA
About the family: Transfer RNA (tRNA) molecules are approximately 80 nucleotides in length. Their secondary structure includes four short double-helical elements and three loops (D, anti-codon, and T loops). Further hydrogen bonds mediate the characteristic L-shaped molecular structure. tRNAs have two regions of fundamental functional importance: the anti-codon, which is responsible for specific mRNA codon recognition, and the 3' end, to which the tRNAs corresponding amino acid is attached (by aminoacyl-tRNA synthetases). tRNAs cope with the degeneracy of the genetic code in two manners: having more than one tRNA (with a specific anti-codon) for a particular amino acid; and 'wobble' base-pairing, i.e. permitting non-standard base-pairing at the 3rd anti-codon position.
Source: RNAcentral
GGGCGGGUAGCUCAGCGGGAGAGCAUCGGCCUUACAAGCCGAGGGUCACAGGUUCAAAUCCUGUUCCGCCUACCA